AUUGUGCACUAGGGGAGCUGUUAAGGCUGAGAUGAAUUUAUUCAGACCCUUGAACCUGCACUGGGUAAUGCCAGCGAAGGGAAGUGAGAAGUAAUAUGA
This 99-nucleotide non-coding RNA is filed under the name Clostridium intestinale. Its description in RNAcentral is "TPP sequence". It matches the Rfam family "TPP riboswitch aptamer (THI element)". Rfam says of the family: Vitamin B(1) in its active form thiamin pyrophosphate (TPP) is an essential coenzyme that is synthesised by coupling of pyrimidine and thiazole moieties in bacteria. The previously detected thiamin-regulatory element, thi box was extended, resulting in a new, highly conserved RNA secondary structure, the THI element, which is widely distributed in eubacteria and also occurs in some archaea. RNAcentral also lists the same sequence under 1 other name. The record is from RNAcentral. Lineage: Bacteria; Bacillati; Bacillota; Clostridia; Eubacteriales; Clostridiaceae.